Balaenoptera musculus (blue whale) is the source of this 131-nucleotide small nucleolar RNA. Ensembl annotates it as small nucleolar RNA, H/ACA box 24B. Lineage: Eukaryota; Metazoa; Chordata; Mammalia; Artiodactyla; Balaenopteridae. The record is from Ensembl.
CUCUAUGUAUCUUCGAGACCUGUCAGCUGUGGCAGUCUCCCUUUCUAGCCAUGGAAGAGCAUAUUCUUGUUUAUUGGCAAAGCUGUCACCAUUUAAUUGGUAUCACAUUCUGACUUGUACAAGUAACGUUC